AGACGAAGUAAACGGACGACUUUCAAAGCUGAGAAAAGACUACCUAUACCAUCCUCAUCGUGAUCGAAUGCGUUGAACACGUCGUAAGAUAUUAUGACAAAUCAUGUAAAAUAGACAAAUAGAAGUAGACAACAACAACAACAACAACAAACAAA
Polistes dominula (European paper wasp) is the source of this 155-nucleotide long non-coding RNA. RefSeq lists it as uncharacterized. NCBI's taxonomy places the organism in Eukaryota, Metazoa, Arthropoda, Insecta, Hymenoptera, Vespidae. The record is from RefSeq and is a predicted model, not a curated record.